Molecule: ribosomal RNA, 433 nt
Filed under: uncultured bacterium
Lineage: Bacteria
Description: partial 16S ribosomal RNA
Rfam family: Bacterial small subunit ribosomal RNA
Source: RNAcentral
AACGAACGCUGGCGGCAUGCCUAACACAUGCAAGUCGAACGAGACCUUCGGGUCUAGUGGCGCACGGGUGCGUAACGCGUGGGAACCUGCCCUUAGGUUCGGAAUAACUCCCCGAAAGGGGUGCUAAUACCGGAUAAUGCCUUCGGACCAAAGAUCUAUCGCCUUUGGAUGGGCCCGCGUUGGAUUAGCUAGUUGGUAGGGUAAAAGCCUACCAAGGCGACGAUCCAUAGCUGGUCUGAGAGGAUGAUCAGCCACACUGGGACUGAGACACGGCCCAGACUCCUACGGGAGGCAGCAGUGGGGAAUAUUGGACAAUGGGCGAAAGCCUGAUCCAGCAAUGCCGCGUGAGUGAUGAAGGCCUUAGGGUUGUAAAGCUCUUUUACCCGGGAUGAUAAUGACAGUACCGGGAGAAUAAGCUCCGGCUAACUCCGUG